RNAcentral lists this ribosomal RNA (239 nucleotides) under uncultured bacterium. RNAcentral's name for it is "partial 16S ribosomal RNA". It matches the Rfam family "Bacterial small subunit ribosomal RNA", at positions 538 to 776 of the family's 1533-position model. The record is from RNAcentral.
GCGUUAUCCGGAUUCACUGGGUUUAAAGGGUGCGUAGGUGGGUUGGUAAGUCAGUGGUGAAAUCUCCGAGCUUAACUUGGAAACUGCCAUUGGUACUAUUAGUCUUGAAUAUUGUGGAGGUCAGCGGAAUAUGUCAUGUAGCGGUGAAAUGCUUAGAGAUGACAUAGAACACCAAUUGCGAAGGCAGCUGGCUACACAUAUAUUGACACUGAGGCACGAAAGCGUGGGGAUCAAACAGG